This is a long non-coding RNA of Melanotaenia boesemani (Boeseman's rainbowfish), 152 nucleotides long. RefSeq lists it as uncharacterized. The transcript has 3 exons. NCBI's taxonomy places the organism in Eukaryota, Metazoa, Chordata, Actinopteri, Atheriniformes, Melanotaeniidae. The record is from RefSeq and is a predicted model, not a curated record.
AAAGUUACUGUUUGAUUGUAGCCAGCACAUUUUCGAUGGCAUCAUUUUUAGGAGGAGAUUGCAAAGAGGAGAGACAGAUUUUUGGCCAUGGCAUUUUGUGGAGCAGUGGCAGCAACGUCUAUACAGAGAAACGUGUGGGUAAGGAGUCACAG